Molecule: ribosomal RNA, 780 nt
Filed under: uncultured Neocallimastigales
Lineage: Eukaryota; Fungi; Neocallimastigomycota; Neocallimastigomycetes; Neocallimastigales
Description: partial large subunit ribosomal RNA
Rfam family: Eukaryotic large subunit ribosomal RNA
Source: RNAcentral
UAUCUCUGUAGAGUCUGCAUAUCAAUAAGCGGAGGAAAAGAAACUAACUAGGAUUCCCCCAGUAACGGCGAGUGAAGCGGGAAGAGCUCAAAUUUGAAAUCUUCAAGGUUCUACCUUGACGAAUUGUAGUUUAAAGAAGUGUUUUCUGUUGGAGUUUUGGUAAAAGUUCUUUGGAAUAGGACAUCAUAGAGGGUGAGAAUCCCGUAUUUGACCAUUAUUUCCAACUUUGUGAUACACUUUCAAAGAGUCGGAUUGUUUGGGAAUGCAGUCCAAAAUGGGUGGUAAAUUUCAUCUAAAGCUAAAUACUGGCGAGAGACCGAUAGCGAACAAGUACCGUGAGGGAAAGAUGAAAAGAACUUUGAAAAGAGAGUUAAACAGUACGUGAAAUUGUCAAAAGGGAAGCGUUUGACACCAGUGUUGUUUUCUCGAAAAUCAAUUAAAAAGUGGUUAGGAUUUUGUAUUGUUAUGACCUUAUCAGCUUUACUGUACUCUUUUCCUGCUCUUUUUAAUGCACUUUUCGUUUAACAAGUCAACAUCAGUUUCUUUUGUUGUAAAAAGGUCAUUGGAAGGUGGCUUUCUUUUUCGGAGAAAGUGUUUAUAGCCUUUGACUCCUGCAAUCGGAGAGACUGAGGUCUGCAGCGUAGAUCCUUCUUGGAUUAGAUUCAUUUGUGCUAAGUUAUAGCCUUUUCAUAGACAACUUGUUGACUAUGAUCAGUCAUGUAGCUUACUCGCUUAUGCUAUUUUACCUACGCUUAGGAUGUUGAUCUCUCACAGUCGAGC